AGCAGGGUAGAGGAAUUGGUCAACUCAUCAGGCUCAUGACCUGAAGACUGCAGGUUCGAAUCCUGUCCCCGCCU
Triticum aestivum (bread wheat) is the source of this 74-nucleotide non-coding RNA. NCBI's taxonomy places the organism in Eukaryota, Viridiplantae, Streptophyta, Magnoliopsida, Poales, Poaceae. The record is from Rfam.